Molecule: long non-coding RNA, 1811 nt
Filed under: Triticum aestivum (bread wheat)
Lineage: Eukaryota; Viridiplantae; Streptophyta; Magnoliopsida; Poales; Poaceae
Description: long non-coding RNA (TAES_LNC005370)
Source: RNAcentral
AGGGAUGGAGGGGGGAUUAGAUCUCCUACAAGUCAAAUCCCCUCCAAUCCUUGUGGGAAGAGGUGUAACCGAAGAAAGCUUUAUGCAGAGUUGUCCUCUCAUCUGUUUUAAAAUUCAACUUGUGCACACUGGCACUUAAACAUUUUAUCAAUGCACAAUAAAAUAUUGAACACACACAAUAGUCUAGUUGGGGAUCCAAAUGAUUGACUUUCACACAUCAGCAUACACUCAAAUCAUAGAAAACUUAUUCUUCCCGGAAAUGAAAACUAACAUCAACAAGUCACAUGCUCCACCCGCCCAUUGGACUGCUCUUCUCCUCAUGCCUCCUCUUCAAUCACUCACCAUAUUAAUAACACCUGAAUAAGAAAAACCACUUAUGAAUUAUACCGGCAUGCAAAAUAUUGUAUACUGUGAAGCAUAGCAAUGCCACUAAGUAAGAUGUGCACUCUCAUAUAUAUAAUAUGGUCUACUAUAAACCCAUAUAUUUUCUAUCAAAAGUUUCAUUUUUGUGAACUAUACUAUCUAUAAAAGAUAGGUCAAAUGGUUAAAAACUGACAUGUAAACAACAAACACAACCUAUAGCUAGUAACCAAUUACAAAGCCCUAUUUUUUUUUGCAAGGCCGACAUCAUGGCAGCCAUCACUCAUGGCCUGCCUUGGAUGCACGACAUGAAGGUUGCCAAAGGUCAGCGCUAUUGCGGGUGUUUCUAUUCACAUCAUCAAUAGAUUAUGUAUGCACCUAGGUAAUUCCAAGUUUUCAUUUAGAUGUAUCCUCUUCAAAGGAUAUGGGCUACACGGUAGCCUGGACAGGAAGCUGCAGCCAAAGACAACCUAAAUCAGCAAAUAUAGAAAUUACCCUGCAGUUCUAAAGAUCUGAAAUACAACCGCACAGACAAAAUUUUGCUGCGAAAGAACCAUACGUGUAUAUACAAUAGCGUGUUGUUGAUUCCACAGAGCAAAUUUAACAUCAGCUAAGGUGAUGCUUUCGUUGUGCAUGAACUCACACACAAUCAUGUUCUUCUUGUCUUGCUGACUGUAAGCAGUGAAUGUUACCAGGUUCCAAUGAUGUAUUCCAGAAAGUAAUGCUACCUAAAACAAGUAGACCUGCACAACAGACUACAUGUAAGCCAGCCAACUCAUCAGGACAAUGUCGGUAAGAAAAGAAAUGCAUGAGCAUAUGGUACAUUGUAAUGCAACGAUGCAAUCAUAGGAUGAUAUGUCUGUUCAGUAGACCAUUACAACAGACCACAAGAGGGGAUGUGCAGAUACAGAAUGCGAAGGAAAUUUCAAAAGGCAAACAUCACGAACUGAAAUUGCAGAAACAUAAAAGAAGGAUUGCUGCUAAUCUAAGAUAGUGAGGAAACAAUUGUCACAUUAAUACGUCAUUGGAUUAAGAAAAAACAGAAUGGUCAAACAUAUCACGAUCUUUUUCCACAACAGGACCAAGCCAUACCAUAAAUGCAGAAACAAGUAAACACAUGAGAAGGUGCACAUAAAGUUAACUACUUGGCAUAAAAUAAGACAAGUUCAUCAUCUAACAACAAGAGCCUACACUGGUAUAUAAUUAUAGAAGAUAUUAUGUAUGCAAAUAUGAUAAUAUAUAACCCUAUUUGAUUAUUCCAUUUGAUGUGAUGCUAAGAAGCACACAUAGAUCUGUCUAUUUCUUUUCUCAAAGAAAAUAACACCAUGAUUAUUUCAGUAAGAAGUGCACACGACAAUCACGCCUCAGUUGACAAAUAAUAAAGGAUUACUCAGAAAAUAAAAUAAACGACUCAAAGGGCAUUGUAUAUUUGUAUUGUGAAAAAAUCUACA